GGCGGCAGGCUUAACACAUGCAAGUCGAGCGCCUCGCAAGAGGAGCGGCAGACGGGUGAGUAACGCGUGGGAAUCUACCCAUCCUUACGGAACAACUCCGGGAAACUGGAGCUAAUACCGUAUACGCCCUUAGGGGGAAAGAUUUAUCGAGGAUGAUGAGCCCGCGUUGGAUUAGCUAGUUGGUGGGGUAAAGGCCUACCAAGGCGACGAUCCAUAGCUGGUCUGAGAGGAUGAUCAGCCACAUUGGGACUGAGACACGGCCCAAACUCCUACGGGAGGCAGCAGUGGGGAAUAUUGGACAAUGGGCGCAAGCCUGAUCCAGCCAUGCCGCGUGAGUGAUGAAGGCCCUAGGGUUGUAAAGCUCUUUCACCGGAGAAGAUAAUGACGGUAUCCGGAGAAGAAGCCCCGGCUAACUUCGUGCCAGCAGCCGCGGUAAUACGAAGGGGGCUAGCGUUGUUCGGAUUUACUGGGCGUAAAGCGCACGUAGGCGGAUCGAUCAGUCAGGGGUGAAAUCCCAGAGCUCAACUCUGGAACUGCCUUUGAUACUGUCGAUCUGGAGUAUGGAA
This 566-nucleotide ribosomal RNA is filed under the name uncultured Alphaproteobacteria bacterium. Its description in RNAcentral is "bacterial SSU rRNA". It matches the Rfam family "Bacterial small subunit ribosomal RNA", at positions 38 to 653 of the family's 1533-position model. Lineage: Bacteria; Pseudomonadati; Pseudomonadota; Alphaproteobacteria. The record is from RNAcentral.